This 370-nucleotide ribosomal RNA is filed under the name Mesopeplum convexum. Its description in RNAcentral is "partial 16S ribosomal RNA". It matches the Rfam family "Bacterial large subunit ribosomal RNA", at positions 1858 to 2532 of the family's 2925-position model. Lineage: Eukaryota; Metazoa; Mollusca; Bivalvia; Pectinida; Pectinidae. The record is from RNAcentral.
CCUUCCGGUGAGCAUACGGCUUAAACGGACGCGGUAAACGUGCUAAGGUAGCUAAAUUAUGGCCUAUUAAUUGUAGGUCUUGUGAAUGGUUUGACGAGUUCCCGACUGUCUCUAGUUUGUUGAGGAGAACUUGAAUUGAAAGUGCAAAUGCUUUUAUGGGUUAGAAAGACGAGAAGACCCCGUGAAGUUAAGAAAUAGCGUUAAAUAAGUUUGAGUUUUGGCUGGGGCAGCAAAGAGGCAAAUUUAGACCUUUUUUAGACAGGUGUGUUACGACCCACAAAAGUGUGAUUAACAGAAGGAGUUACUCCGGGGAUAACAGCGUUAUCGUCCUGAUAGUUCUUAUUGACGGGCGGGUUUGCGACCUCGAUGU